This 459-nucleotide ribosomal RNA is filed under the name uncultured bacterium. Its description in RNAcentral is "partial 16S ribosomal RNA". It matches the Rfam family "Bacterial small subunit ribosomal RNA", at positions 338 to 795 of the family's 1533-position model. The record is from RNAcentral.
CCUACGGGAGGCAGCAGUGAGGAAUAUUGGUCAAUGGGCGGAAGCCUGAACCAGCCAAGUAGCGUGCGGGAUGAAGGCCCUACGGGUCGUAAACCGCUUUUGCACGGGGAUAACACCCUCCACUUGUGGAGGUCUGCAGGUACCGUGCGACUAAGGGCCGGCUAAUUCCGUGCCAGCAGCCGCGGUAAUACGGAAGUCCCGAGCGUUAUCCGGAUUCAUUGGGCUUAAAGGGAGCGUAGGCGGGCGUUCAAGUCAGCUGUAAAAUCGCGGGGCUCAACCGCGCCCCGCAGUUGAAACUGGACGCAUUGAGUUCACAACAGGCAGGCGGAAUUCGUGGUGUAGCGGUGAAAUGCAUAGAUAUUACGAGGAACCCCGAUUGCGAAGGCAGCCUGCCGGGGUGCGACUGACGCUGAGGCUCGAAGGUGCGGGUAUCAAACAGGAUUAGAUACCCUUGUAGUC